RNAcentral lists this ribosomal RNA (116 nucleotides) under Dineutus mellyi. RNAcentral describes it as "partial 16S ribosomal RNA". Lineage: Eukaryota; Metazoa; Arthropoda; Insecta; Coleoptera; Gyrinidae. The record is from RNAcentral.
AAAAAUUUAAUGGUCGAACAGACCAAAACUCUAAGCUUCUACACCUAAAAUUACUUUUAAUCCAACAUCGAGGUCGCAAUCUUUUUUAUCGAUAUGAACUCUUUAAAAAAAUUACG